GCUGUGAUGGCCGAGUGGUUAAGGCUUUGAAAUCCAAUGGGGUUUCCCCGCAUAGGUUCGAACCCUGCUCUCAGCG
Molecule: transfer RNA, 76 nt
Filed under: Dallia pectoralis (Alaska blackfish)
Lineage: Eukaryota; Metazoa; Chordata; Actinopteri; Esociformes; Umbridae
Description: tRNA-OTHER
Rfam family: tRNA
About the family: Transfer RNA (tRNA) molecules are approximately 80 nucleotides in length.
Source: RNAcentral